Molecule: non-coding RNA, 114 nt
Organism: Pelobates cultripes (western spadefoot toad)
Lineage: Eukaryota; Metazoa; Chordata; Amphibia; Anura; Pelobatidae
Source: the annotation of a GenBank genome assembly
CCACAUGUAUUCAGGGCUUAAUCCUCAAAGGUAGAAAGCAUAAGAAAAGCAGCACCAGUAAGGUAAAGUAGUAUGCUUUCUACCUUUGAGGAUUAAGCCCUGAAUACAUGUGGA